Molecule: small RNA, 174 nt
Filed under: human gut metagenome
Also listed under: 1 other name
Description: Bacteroidales-1 6S-Bacteroidales RNA suggested
Rfam family: Bacteroidales-1 6S-Bacteroidales RNA suggested
Source: RNAcentral
GUUGAUUGGGAAACUCUUCAAAUCAUAAUGAAAUGCCGAGACUCGCUUUGCCUACCAAUGGCGGGCCCCACGUCAGAAAUGACGAGGUUUUCCUUCUCAGGGGAUUACAAAGGUUGGGAAGCACUCAAAUCCUGUCUAAUCGGAGUUUCAUCGCAUCCUUUGGUGUGGCACUUU